UAGGGAAUCUUCCGCAAUGGACGAAAGUCUGACGGAGCAACGCCGCGUGAGUGAAGAAGGAUUUCGGUUCGUAAAACUCUGUUGUUAGGGAAGAAAAAAUGUAUAGUAACUAUAUACAAAAGAGACGGUACCUAACCAGAAAGCCACGGCUAACUACGUGCCAGCAGCCGCGGUAAUACGUAGGUGGCAAGCGUUGUCCGGAAUUAUUGGGCGUAAAGCGCGCGCAGGUGGUUUAGAAAGUCUGAUGUGAAAUCCCACGGCUCAACCGUGGAGGGUCAUUGGAAACUAAUAAACUUGAGUGCAGGAGAGAAAAGUGGAAUUCCUAGUGUAGCGGUGAAAUGCGUAGAGAUUAGGAGGAACACCGGUGGCGAAAGCGGCUUUUUGGCCUGCAACUGACACUGAGGCGCGAAAGCGUGGGGAGCAAACAGG
Molecule: ribosomal RNA, 429 nt
Filed under: Verrucomicrobiota bacterium
Lineage: Bacteria; Pseudomonadati; Verrucomicrobiota
Description: Verrucomicrobia bacterium partial 16S ribosomal RNA
Rfam family: Bacterial small subunit ribosomal RNA
Source: RNAcentral